RNAcentral lists this non-coding RNA (1277 nucleotides) under Pongo abelii (Sumatran orangutan). The record is from RNAcentral. Lineage: Eukaryota; Metazoa; Chordata; Mammalia; Primates; Hominidae.
AAAGCCAUGAAGUCACCCCAAGUUCAAACCCAAUAUGCAAUUUGCAGUGGUUAGAAAUGACAAAGGAUGGGUGGUGGGAUCCAGAGAAAAAAACAGUGAAACCCGAUGGACCUUAAAUAGAUCUGAGGGCACUGAUUUGAUUAUUUUGGGUGAAAUCUUUUAAGAAAAUCUUGUCAGAUUCUUCACAGAAAAUUUGGUAAAGCCUAUAUUUCAUUGCCGGCCUAGCAAAGUUCACCUUGUGCCCAACCUUCUGUCUCCCCGAGUCAGACCUGCAGAUGAUUGCAUGCCACCGGCUGUCUUCCCUCCUGAGAACAUGACACAAAGGAACGCUCCCUGUCAAGUUCUUCAUUAUCCUUCUGAUGAAUUUCCCCUGAUUUAAACAAGUUGGUGUUAGACAGACCUUUCUCGCAUUUUCACAGAUGUGCCAGGAGGAAACCCAGCGUCUCUCAGUUGCCUUUAAAUAUAUGAGAUACCAUGAAAGGAUUUGAGGUUUUUUUAAUGUGAAUCCAAAGAUGACAUUUACAAAAGGUGGAGAAGCAGUUCCCUACUGAGGGACAUGGAUACAAAAAGCAGAUGACACAACGCAUCCCAUAGAGUUCCCAAGGAAGAAUGAACCCAGAUUCUUGACCUGCAGAGGUUAUCGCAAUUGACUUCAGGCUGGAACGGGCAUUGCUCUUGCACUGAAGAAAGUCUGUCCUGACUCCCUCAGAGUGCCUCAACAUCAACCAAGAGCCACCGUGAACCUCUGGGGCACUGAGCCUGGCCACCAGCACCCCCCACCCCAGCCCAUAUGGCCUGGGCCUCUGCCUUAAUGUUUAAAGGAGAUGAUAAAAAUGCUGUAACCCAGAUAAUGAUCACCUUACUCUUCAAAAAUAUUGCCCAAGUUCUUUGUUCAAGAUGCCACGAACCUGGAUACCCUCCACUGGUAACAAAUAUGACUUUAUUUUUAGCAAGGAACUUUGCAGUGUAAUUAAGUUAAUGAUCUUGAGAUGAGAUCAUCUUGGAAUAUCUGGGUGGGCCCUAAAUCCAAUGACAAGUGUCCUCAUAGGAAGAGAAGAUACACACAGAGGAGAAGGUGGUGUGAAGAUGGAAGCCAAGACUGUCGAUACCAGUUGGAGAGCACCAAGAACUACCCGCAGCCACCGAAAGCUAGGAGAGAGGCAUAGGACUGUCUCCUUCAGACCCUCCAGAAAGACCAAACCUGCCUGCGCCUUGAUUUCAGACUUUUGGCCUCCCACAUUGUGAGAGAAUAAAAUUUUGUUUUUGAAGCCAUCUAG